This 725-nucleotide ribosomal RNA is filed under the name uncultured Mycobacterium sp. Its description in RNAcentral is "bacterial SSU rRNA". It matches the Rfam family "Bacterial small subunit ribosomal RNA", at positions 86 to 825 of the family's 1533-position model. The record is from RNAcentral. Lineage: Bacteria; Bacillati; Actinomycetota; Actinomycetes; Mycobacteriales; Mycobacteriaceae.
GGUACUCGAGUGGCGAACGGGUGAGUAACACGUGGGUGAUCUGCCCUGCACUCUGGGAUAAGCCUGGGAAACUGGGUCUAAUACCGGAUAGGACCGCACACUUCAUGGUGAGUGGUGCAAAGCUUUUGCGGUGUGGGAUGAGCCCGCGGCCUAUCAGCUUGUUGGUGGGGUAAUGGCCCACCAAGGCGACGACGGGUAGCCGGCCUGAGAGGGUGACCGGCCACACUGGGACUGAGAUACGGCCCAGACUCCUACGGGAGGCAGCAGUGGGGAAUAUUGCACAAUGGGCGCAAGCCUGAUGCAGCGACGCCGCGUGAGGGAUGACGGCCUUCGGGUUGUAAACCUCUUUCAGUAGGGACGAAGCGAAAGUGACGGUACCUACAGAAGAAGGACCGGCCAACUACGUGCCAGCAGCCGCGGUAAUACGUAGGGUCCGAGCGUUGUCCGGAAUUACUGGGCGUAAAGAGCUCGUAGGUGGUUUGUCGCGUUGUUCGUGAAAACUCACAGCUUAACUGUGGGCGUGCGGGCGAUACGGGCAGACUAGAGUACUGCAGGGGAGACUGGAAUUCCUGGUGUAGCGGUGGAAUGCGCAGAUAUCAGGAGGAACACCGGUGGCGAAGGCGGGUCUCUGGGCAGUAACUGACGCUGAGGAGCGAAAGCGUGGGUAGCGAACAGGAUUAGAUACCCUGGUAGUCCACGCCGUAAACGGUGGGUACUAGGUGUGG